Molecule: ribosomal RNA, 468 nt
Filed under: uncultured bacterium
Lineage: Bacteria
Description: partial 16S ribosomal RNA
Rfam family: Bacterial small subunit ribosomal RNA
Source: RNAcentral
GACGAACGCUGGCGGCGUGCUUAACACAUGCAAGUCGAACGGAAAGGCCCUGCUUUUGUGGGGUGCUCGAGUGGCGAACGGGUGAGUAACACGUGAGUAACCUGCCCUUGACUUUGGGAUAACUUCAGGAAACUGGGGCUAAUACCGGAUAGGAGCUCCUGCUGCAUGGUGGGGGUUGGAAAGUUUCGGCGGUUGGGGAUGGACUCGCGGCUUAUCAGCUUGUUGGUGGGGUAGUGGCUUACCAAGGCUUUGACGGGUAGCCGGCCUGAGAGGGUGACCGGCCACAUUGGGACUGAGAUACGGCCCAGACUCCUACGGGAGGCAGCAGUGGGGAAUAUUGCACAAUGGGCGGAAGCCUGAUGCAGCAGCGCCGCGUGCGGGAUGACGGCCUUCGGGUUGGAAACCGCUUUCGCCUGUGACGAAGCGUGAGUGACGGUAAUGGGUAAAGAAGCACCGGCUAACUACGUG